RNAcentral lists this ribosomal RNA (455 nucleotides) under uncultured bacterium. RNAcentral's name for it is "bacterial SSU rRNA". It matches the Rfam family "Bacterial small subunit ribosomal RNA", at positions 8 to 507 of the family's 1533-position model. The record is from RNAcentral.
AGAGUUUGAUCCUGGCUCAAGAACGAACGCUGGCGGCAUGCCUAACACAUGCAAGUCGAACGAAGCCUUCGGGCUUAGUGGCGCACGGGUGCGUAACGCGUGGGAAUCUGCCCUUGGGUUCGGAAUAACAGUUAGAAAUGACUGCUAAUACCGAAUGAUGUCUUCGGACCAAAGAUUUAUCGCCCAAGGAUGAGCCCGCGUCGGAUUAGCUAGUUGGUGAGGUAAAAGGCUCACCAAGGCGACGAUCCGUAGCUGGUCUGAGAGGAUGAUCAGCCACACUGGGACUGAGACACGGCCCAGACUCCUACGGGAGGCAGCAGUGGGGAAUAUUGGACAAUGGGCGAAAGCCUGAUCCAGCAAUGCCGCGUGAGUGAUGAAGGCCUUAGGGUUGUAAAGCUCUUUUACCCGGGAUGAUAAUGACAGUACCGGGAGAAUAAGCUCCGGCUAACUCCGUG